GCUGAAGUCGGUCUGUAAGUAACAAAGGCAGGGUUUUCUCUGAGGGCAUCUAGUCUCGCUCCUUCCUCGCUCUUAAAAUUUGAGGAAAGAGUCUCAAGCAAUUAGUCAACUCCAUUCAAUCUAGGAAAACUAAACAGAUUUUCUCUUACUUUUGUCAUGAGAAAACAAUAAUCUGUGUUGAUAGAGGUGAGAAAAUUGGCUGCCUUUAAAAAAAAAAAUCUUGCCUAAAGAGUUUAUAGUGUAGAACUUGUGUUCUCUAGUUUUCCAGCUUGAACCCUUAUAUGCGAUUGUGGUUAUAUUUUCAAUUUAUUUGGCCUCUGAAUAAUGCUUGAUGUCUUUAUGGAUUUG
This 348-nucleotide long non-coding RNA is filed under the name Bos taurus (domestic cattle). Its description in RNAcentral is "long non-coding RNA NONBTAT025881". Lineage: Eukaryota; Metazoa; Chordata; Mammalia; Artiodactyla; Bovidae. The record is from RNAcentral.